RNAcentral lists this ribosomal RNA (301 nucleotides) under uncultured bacterium. RNAcentral describes it as "partial 16S ribosomal RNA". It matches the Rfam family "Bacterial small subunit ribosomal RNA", at positions 509 to 807 of the family's 1533-position model. The record is from RNAcentral.
CAGUAGCCACGGUAAUACGUAGGGUGCAAGCGUUAAUCGGAAUUACUGGGCGUAAAGCGUGCGCAGGCGGUUUGUUAAGACAGAUGUGAAAUCCCCGGGCUCAACCUGGGAACUGCAUUUGUGACUGGCAAGCUAGAGUCUGGCAGAGGGGGGUGGAAUUCCGCGUGUAGCAGUGAAAUGCGUAGAUAUGCGGAGGAACACCGAUGGCGAAGGCAGCCCCCUGGGCCAACACUGACGCUCAUGCACGAAAGCGUGGGGAGCAAACAGGAUUAGAUACCUCUGUAGUCCCUGUCUCUUAUAC